RNAcentral lists this ribosomal RNA (460 nucleotides) under uncultured bacterium. Its description in RNAcentral is "partial 16S ribosomal RNA". It matches the Rfam family "Bacterial small subunit ribosomal RNA", at positions 338 to 795 of the family's 1533-position model. The record is from RNAcentral.
CCUACGGGUGGCUGCAGUGAGGAAUAUUGGUCAAUGGCCGAAAGUCUGAACCAGCCAAGCAGCGUGAAGGAUGACUGCCCUAUGGGUUGUAAACUUCUUUUAUAUGGGAAUAAAAUGUUCCACGUGUGGGUUAUUGUAUGUACCAUAUGAAUAAGCAUCGGCUAACUCCGUGCCAGCAGCCGCGGUAAUACGGAGGAUCCGAUCGUUAUCCGGAUUUAUUGGGGUUAAAGGGAGCGUAGGGGGGUUGUUAAGUCAGGUGUGAAAGUCUGGGGCUCAACCGUAAAAUUGCAGUUGAAACUGGCAGUCUUGAGAAGAGGAGAGGUAGGCGGAAUGCGUAGUGUAGCGGUGAAAUGCUUAGAUAUCACGAAGAACUCCGAUUGCGAAGGCAGCUCACUGGACUGCAACUGACACUGAGGCUCGAAAGUGUGGGGAUCAAACAGGAUUAGAUACCCGAGUAGUC